This is an RNA transcript of Arvicanthis niloticus (Nile rat), 2063 nucleotides long. It is a transcript of the gene named solute carrier family 35 member A2, with no coding region annotated. The record is from RefSeq and is a predicted model, not a curated record. Lineage: Eukaryota; Metazoa; Chordata; Mammalia; Rodentia; Muridae.
CCGAGGGGACAGGACGGGCAGAUGCCAACAUGGCAGCGGUUGGGGUUGGCGGAUCUGCCGCUGCGGCUGGGACAGGGGCUGUGGCCCCGGGCGCGUUGGAACCUGGGUCCGCUACAGCGGCUCACCGGCGCCUCAAGUAUAUAUCCUUAGCUGUGCUGGUGGUCCAGAAUGCCUCCCUCAUCCUCAGCAUCCGCUAUGCUCGAACACUGCCUGGGGACCGCUUCUUUGCCACCACUGCUGUGGUCAUGGCUGAAGUGCUCAAAGGUCUCACCUGCCUCCUGCUGCUCUUCGCACAAAAGAGGGGUAAUGUGAAGCACCUGGUCCUCUUCCUCCAUGAAGCUGUCCUGGUACAAUAUGUGGACACACUCAAGCUCGCAGUGCCCUCUCUCAUCUAUACCUUGCAGAAUAACCUCCAGUAUGUUGCCAUUACCAACUUGCCAGCUGCCACUUUCCAGGUGACGUAUCAGCUGAAGAUCCUGACCACAGCGCUGUUCUCCGUGCUGAUGCUGAACCGCACCCUCUCACGCCUGCAGUGGGCCUCCCUGCUGCUGCUCUUCACUGGUGUUGCCAUUGUCCAGGCACAGCAAGCUGGUGGGAGUGGCCCCCGGUCCCUGGAUCAGAACCCAGGGGCAGGCUUAGCAGCCGUUGUGGCCUCCUGUCUCUCCUCAGGCUUCGCUGGUGUCUACUUUGAGAAGAUCCUCAAAGGGAGCUCAGGUUCUGUGUGGCUGCGGAACCUCCAGCUCGGCCUCUUUGGCACAGCACUGGGCCUGGUGGGGCUCUGGUGGGCUGAGGGCACUGCCGUGGCCAGUCAAGGCUUCUUCUUUGGGUACACACCUGCUGUCUGGGGUGUAGUAUUAAACCAAGCCUUUGGUGGGCUCCUGGUGGCUGUUGUUGUCAAGUAUGCUGACAACAUCCUCAAGGGCUUUGCCACCUCCCUGUCCAUUGUGUUGUCCACUGUUGCCUCCAUCCGCCUCUUUGGCUUCCACCUGGACCCCUUAUUUGCCCUGGGCGCUGGGCUCGUCAUUGGUGCCGUCUACCUCUACAGCCUUCCCCGAGGUGCAGUCAAAGCCAUAGCCUCUGCCUCUGCCUCUGCCUCUGGGCCCUGCAUUCACCAGCAGCCUCCUGGGCAGCCACCCCCACCGCAGCUGUCUUCUCGAGGAGAACUCAUCACGGAGCCCUUUCUGCCAAAGUCAGUGCUGGUGAAGUGAGAGCUGCUGCUGGGGGGUGGGGGUGGGGACAGGGCAGGGCGUUGGGUUGGAGGGGGUUAGAAUUCUGCAGGUUCAAAGUUGUUGCCAGGGCCUGACUCUUGUGGGGUCGGAGGGGUUUUUUUCUCCCAUAUUUCUAGAGGAAUAUGGAACUAAGGCUGAAUGUCACAUGAAUGCUCCCUGAGAGAUGGACUCCCCUCUCCUGGAGGAGCUUUGUAGAGCUGCUUCCUCUGCCUCGGGCUAACCUCUUUGGGAACAGGGUUGGGGUACUGCUAUUCCAGGCCUUUCCCCCACGACCCUCUGGUGGAGAUGUCCUGUCUCACAUGCCUGGGACAGUUCAUCCCAGCCAUCCUGCAGACUGGACAAAAGCAGCUCUCCAGUAACGACUAAUGACUACUCGUGGGGUUCCAUUUGCUAUUGUAUGAGGCCUUCUCUCCUGCACCAUCACCCUGGAUCAUGACAACAGCUUGGUCUCUGAUGUGGCUUUGGGACAGUUUCCCUGCUACAGAGACCCUUGAAGAUCAAUCAGCCUGUUGUUGCUCACCAAGGUGAAGGGAUCGUAGCUGCUGGAACAGAAGACACUGGCCUGCCUUCGUUCUCCCUUCUUGCCCUGGCCCAGCUGGGACUAAGCUCUUAUCAGUAUUAGGGGUUAGGUGAGGUAGACAUGGGAGCUCCCUGUCCCCACCAACCCCGCCCCACAUAGGGCUGACAUGACUAACCUCUGUUAAUGGGCCCACCUCAACUCCUGCUAUCUUUACAGUAUUUCUUAGGUGAGUUUCUGCAAAUAAAAUGUGUUUUGCACCUUGUGAAAUUGGGUUGGAAAGCCUGGAAAGAAUGAAGAAAGGAAGCGCUCAAGCC